UCCCCGGAGGUCCAGUGGCUAAGACUCUGCACUCCCAGUGCGGGGGGCCCAGGUUCGAUUCCUGCUCAGGGAA
This 73-nucleotide transfer RNA is filed under the name Ovis aries (sheep). It matches the Rfam family "tRNA". Rfam says of the family: Transfer RNA (tRNA) molecules are approximately 80 nucleotides in length. Their secondary structure includes four short double-helical elements and three loops (D, anti-codon, and T loops). Further hydrogen bonds mediate the characteristic L-shaped molecular structure. tRNAs have two regions of fundamental functional importance: the anti-codon, which is responsible for specific mRNA codon recognition, and the 3' end, to which the tRNAs corresponding amino acid is attached (by aminoacyl-tRNA synthetases). tRNAs cope with the degeneracy of the genetic code in two manners: having more than one tRNA (with a specific anti-codon) for a particular amino acid; and 'wobble' base-pairing, i.e. permitting non-standard base-pairing at the 3rd anti-codon position. Lineage: Eukaryota; Metazoa; Chordata; Mammalia; Artiodactyla; Bovidae. The record is from Rfam by way of RNAcentral.